UACGGAGGGGGCAAGGCGUUGUUCAGAAUUACUGGGCGUAAAGGGCGCGCAGGCGGCUGCUCAAGUCAGGCGUGAAAGGCCUGGGCUCAACCCGGGAAUUGCGCUUGAGACUGGGCUGGCUUGAGUGCGGGAGAGGGAUGCGGAAUUCCAGGUGUAGCGGUGAAAUGCGUAGAUAUCUGGAGGAACACCGGUGGCGAAGGCGGCAUCCUGGACCGGCAUUGACGCUGAGGAGCGAAAAGCGUGGGGAGCAAACAGGG
RNAcentral lists this ribosomal RNA (257 nucleotides) under uncultured bacterium. RNAcentral describes it as "partial 16S ribosomal RNA". It matches the Rfam family "Bacterial small subunit ribosomal RNA", at positions 524 to 777 of the family's 1533-position model. The record is from RNAcentral.